GGAUAAUACGGACAAGCAGAGAAAGGGGAAGACCGAACUCCUGUACGACUGGAUGCCCUGCGAUCUAUGCGGGAAAACCUGGCCUCCAACCUGGCAGAUGGCUUGAUACUCACUCCAGUUUUAUUUUGUUUCUGUCAUAAUACCUACACAAAAGUUAAAUCCAAAUUGAUCCUUGGCUAGAUUGUUUUUUAUGAUAUUUUGUUCAUUUUUUUGGUAGGUUUGUAUUGUUUUAAUAAAGAUUUGUAUUUACUAA
Molecule: non-coding RNA, 253 nt
Organism: Pimephales promelas (fathead minnow)
Lineage: Eukaryota; Metazoa; Chordata; Actinopteri; Cypriniformes; Leuciscidae
Source: RefSeq, a predicted model, not a curated record